Molecule: ribosomal RNA, 483 nt
Filed under: uncultured bacterium
Lineage: Bacteria
Description: partial 16S ribosomal RNA
Rfam family: Bacterial small subunit ribosomal RNA
Source: RNAcentral
AUUGAACGCUGGCGGCAGGCCUAACACAUGCAAGUCGAGCGGUUGAAGGGAGCUUGCUCCUGGAUUCAGCGGCGGACGGGUGAGUAAUGCCUAGGAAUCUGCCUGGUAGUGGGGGAUAACGUCCGGAAACGGGCGCUAAUACCGCAUACGUCCUGAGGGAGAAAGUGGGGGAUCUUCGGACCUCACGCUAUCAGAUGAGCCUAGGUCGGAUGAGCUAGUUGGUGGGGUAAAGGCCUACCAAGGCGACGAUCCGUAACUGGUCUGAGAGGAUGAUCAGUCACACUGGAACUGAGACACGGUCCAGACUCCGACGGGAGGCAGCAGUGGGGAAUAUUGGACAAGGGGCGAAAGCCUGAUCCAGCCAUGCCGCGGGUGUGAAGAAGGGCUUCGGAUGGUAAAGCACUUUAAGUUGGGAGGAAGGGCAGUAAGUUAAUACCUUGCUGUUUGGACGUUACCAACAGAAUAAGCACCGGCUAACUUCGU